UGGUGGGUAGUUUGACUGGGGCGGUCUCCUCCUAAAGAGUAACGGAGGAGCACGAAGGUUGGCUAAUCCUGGUCGGACAUCAGGAGGUUAGUGCAAUGGCAUAAGCCAGCUUGACUGCGAGCGUGACGGCGCGAGCAGGUGCGAAAGCAGGUCAUAGUGAUCCGGUGGUUCUGAAUGGAAGGGCCAUCGCUCAACGGAUAAAAGGUACUCCGGGGAUAACAGGCUGAUACCGCCCAAGAGUUCAUAUCGACGGCGGUGUUUGGCACCUCGAUGUCGGCUCAUCACAUCCUGGGGCUGAAGUAGGUCCCAAGGGUAUGGCUGUUCGCCAUUUAAAGUGGUACGCGAGCUGGGUUUAGAACGUCGUGAGACAGUUCGGUCCCUAUCUGCCGUGGGCGCUGGAGAACUGAGGGGGGCUGCUCCUAGUACGAGAGGACCGGAGUGGACGCAUCACUGGUGUUCGGGUUGUCAUGCCAAUGGCACUGCCCGGUAGCUAAAUGCGGAAGAGAUAAGUGCUGAAAGCAUCUAAGCACGAAACUUGCCCCGAGAUGAGUUCUCCCUGAGACUUUAAGUCUCCUGAAGGAACGUUGAA
RNAcentral lists this ribosomal RNA (589 nucleotides) under Escherichia coli. RNAcentral's name for it is "partial 23S ribosomal RNA". It matches the Rfam family "Bacterial large subunit ribosomal RNA", at positions 2259 to 2842 of the family's 2925-position model. The record is from RNAcentral. RNAcentral also lists the same sequence under 1 other name. Lineage: Bacteria; Pseudomonadati; Pseudomonadota; Gammaproteobacteria; Enterobacterales; Enterobacteriaceae.